AAGCUCGUAGUUGAAUUUCCGGCCUGGCUGUCCGGUCCGCCUCACCGCGUGCACUGGUUCGGCCGGGCCUUUCCCUCCGGGGAACCGCAUGUCCUUUACUGGGCGUGUCGGGGAACCGGGACUUUUACUUUGAAAAAAUUAGAGUGUUCAAAGCAGGCCUAUGCUCGGAUACAUUAGCAUGGAAUAAUAGAAUAGGACGUGCGGUUCUAUUUUGUUGGUUUCUAGGACCGCCGUAAUGAUUAAUAGGGACAGUCGGGGGCGUCAGUAUUCAAUUGUCAGAGGUGAAAUUCUUGGAUUUAUUGAGGACUAACUACUGCGAAAGCAUUCGCCAAGGAUGUUUUCAUUAAUCAGGAACGAAAGUUAGGGGAUCGAAGACGAUCAGAUACCGUCGUAGUCUUAACCGUAAACUAUGCCGACUAGGGAUCGGGCGGUGUUAUCUUUUGACCCGCUCGGCACCUUACACGAAAGUAUAAGUUCUU
This 479-nucleotide ribosomal RNA is filed under the name uncultured Ascomycota. Its description in RNAcentral is "SSU rRNA". It matches the Rfam family "Eukaryotic small subunit ribosomal RNA", at positions 624 to 1108 of the family's 1831-position model. Lineage: Eukaryota; Fungi; Ascomycota. The record is from RNAcentral.